UAGGGAAUCUUCGGCAAUGGACGAAAGUCUGACCGAGCAACGCCGCGAGAGUGAAGAAGGUUUUCGGAGCGUAAAACUCUGUUGUUAGAGAAGAACAAGGACGGUAGUAACUGAACGUCCCCUGACGGUAGCUAACCAGAAAGCCACGGCUAACUACGUGCCAGCAGCCGCGGUAAUACGUAGGUGGCAAGCGUUGUCCGGAUUUAUUGGGCGUAAAGCGAGCGCAGGCGGUUUCUUAAGUCUGAUGUGAAAGCCCCCGGCUCAACCGGGGAGGGUCAUUGGAAACUGGGAGACUUGAGUGCAGAAGAGGAGAGUGGAAUUCCAUGUGUAGCGGUGAAAUGCGUAGAUAUAUGGAGGAACACCAGUGGCGAAGGCGGCGCUCUGGUCUGUAACUGACGCUGAGGCUCGAAAGCGUGGGGAGCAAACAGG
RNAcentral lists this ribosomal RNA (429 nucleotides) under Gemmatimonadota bacterium. RNAcentral's name for it is "Gemmatimonadetes bacterium partial 16S ribosomal RNA". It matches the Rfam family "Bacterial small subunit ribosomal RNA", at positions 355 to 776 of the family's 1533-position model. Lineage: Bacteria; Pseudomonadati; Gemmatimonadota. The record is from RNAcentral.